Molecule: transfer RNA, 155 nt
Filed under: Sordaria macrospora k-hell
Lineage: Eukaryota; Fungi; Ascomycota; Sordariomycetes; Sordariales; Sordariaceae
Rfam family: tRNA
About the family: Transfer RNA (tRNA) molecules are approximately 80 nucleotides in length. Their secondary structure includes four short double-helical elements and three loops (D, anti-codon, and T loops). Further hydrogen bonds mediate the characteristic L-shaped molecular structure. tRNAs have two regions of fundamental functional importance: the anti-codon, which is responsible for specific mRNA codon recognition, and the 3' end, to which the tRNAs corresponding amino acid is attached (by aminoacyl-tRNA synthetases). tRNAs cope with the degeneracy of the genetic code in two manners: having more than one tRNA (with a specific anti-codon) for a particular amino acid; and 'wobble' base-pairing, i.e. permitting non-standard base-pairing at the 3rd anti-codon position.
Source: Rfam by way of RNAcentral
GGUCACGUAGCGGAGUGGUUACCGCGAUGCUCUUGUGAGUUACCUCGACCCCGUUUGUCACCAAAGUGUUUGUCGCAUACUAACACACGCAAUUAGAUACCUCCAAGUUAUUGGAAGUUAUGCAUAGGUCCUGGGUUCGACCCCCAGCGCGACCA